UUGGACUGCCGAUGAAAUUUAAUAAUUUGCUUUGAGUAAAAGCGUAUGCUUCGCUGCCACUGCUUUAUAGACGAAUAACAUCGUCUACCUAGGUCAGGAAGUUGCGACAUCAGAAGAAAAGCAAUUACUAAAAACGAGAUGCCCGCAGAGAGGAAACUGGUAGCGUAUCUGAUCAUUUCUGUCCUGUGCGCAAUAAGCCCAGCUGUGAAUGCAUCUUCGGGAGGACGAUGGUAUAGGAGUGACUGCUGGAGAUCUCGGCUGUUGCAGACAAGACACCCUGUGGUUACAUUUCCAAGCAGACGUGGAGGUUCAGUGAUUAUUUCUACAACUUCUUCAUAUAC
RNAcentral lists this long non-coding RNA (341 nucleotides) under Dermacentor andersoni. Its description in RNAcentral is "uncharacterized LOC126543793". The record is from RNAcentral. Lineage: Eukaryota; Metazoa; Arthropoda; Arachnida; Ixodida; Ixodidae.